GACGAACGCUGGCGGCGUGCCUAAUACAUGCAAGUCGAACGCAGUGGGGACGGGUGAGUAACACGUGGGUAACCUCCCAUCAGAGGGGAUAACACUUGGAAACAGGUGCUAAACCGAUACUGAUGGAUGGACCCGCGGUGGAUUAGCUAGUUGGGGGGGUAACGGCGCACAAAGGCCACGAUGCAUAGCUGACCUGGUAGGGUGAUCGGCCACACGUGGACUGAGACACGGCCCAGACUCCGACGGUAGGCAGCAGUAGGGAAUCUUCGGCAAUGGACGAAAGUCUGACCGAGCAACGCCGCGUGAGUGAAGAAGGUUUUCGGAUCGUAAAACUCUGUUAUUAGAGAAGCGGUAUCUAACCAGAAAGCAACGGCUAACUACGUGCCAGCCGCCGCGGUAAUUC
Molecule: ribosomal RNA, 403 nt
Filed under: uncultured bacterium
Lineage: Bacteria
Description: partial 16S ribosomal RNA
Rfam family: Bacterial small subunit ribosomal RNA
Source: RNAcentral